GCUGCAGCUGCUAAAAUGGCUGCUAUUUCUGCUAAAGCAGCCCCAGGGGCUGGGAUGAUGCUCUGAACCCUCGUGGGCUGAAGGGAAGAAAUGUAUGUUUUAUAAUGAGGCAAGAGAUGUGCAGCUAAGGAGCUCACUAAAGCGUACAGUCGCCGGCGCCGUGGGGGGACUGCUGGCGUCCGCGCGGCUGCUGGAUUUAUGAGCCCCAGCGGCCUCUUCCCUCGGCCCCUUCCCGGGUACCUGAUUCCCAUCUCCGCUCCCGCUGCACCUCUUGCUUCCUCUCUGCCCUGCCCUCCUCCCCGCUCUCCAUUUUGAAUAUACGGGAGUAUUUUUAGAGGAGUGAAUUAUCUGAUACUUAUCUCUGACUCCAAGGCCUGUAGGUGCAAUAUCCAGUCCUGAAGCCCACGGACCUGCAGGAAUUUAUAGUGGCAGAUUGACAGCGAGUUUUUUUCUGUAGGUUGUUUAUAUUAUUGUAAGCUGCUUAGGUGGAAAGCUUUAACAGAACACUAGAUAAAAAGAAAAUAGGUUUUAAAACCUCCAGUAACUCUUUUUUCUUAACUUGUUCUUGAGCGAAAAAUGCGAGCCCUSGGAAAGUCCCUGACAGGUCCUUUCGCAAGGCACUAGCACAGACGGCAGCAGACCGCGACGGGCAAAACGCCCGCGGCUGGGGCUUGGCAGCAGCAGGCUGAGAAGCUGGGGGAGCAAUGGGACGCGGAAGAGAGGUCCGCUAAGGAAUACUGGUGCUCAGGAACGGGAGUAAAUGAAGGGUCUUCACUUCUUCCGCAGGCUGAUUUUUAACUCAAGCGUCAAAUGCUUCAAGUCGGCUCUUGUUAUUACCGAAGGAAACAGCGCAGAGCGUGGCAGAACACGGAGGGGAAAACGCGGCGGCCGCGCAGGUCUGGAGGGAGAUGCUGGGCUGCCCCAGGCGCCGGGAGCUGCCCGCCCGGAGCUGGGUCCCGCCGGACCUGCUCCUGUGGUACUGCGCUCCCCUGGGGCAAGCUCCAGACCCCGCGUCCCGCGACUUGCGUUUGAGCAAGAGUCGCGUGUGCAUCCCAUACCUCCUGUCCCAGGGCCACUUAGGAGCAUUUACACGGGAAAAAGAGCAAAGGAAGCAACAUUUAAAAUUUAAAGGUGCAAACCAUACCUAUAUUUCUUUGUUUUAGCCAUGCAUAGUAGGAUGUGCAGGAUGGGAAACUAGGAAAUAAUAAUUAGACCAGUUACAAAGCAAAGCUGGACUGAGACAUCUGAACUCUCAAUUCACUACAUGAAAUCUGUUGAAAUGCACUCCUUUUUGGUAUUAAUAUCAACAUAUGUUAUAACUAUAAGAAAGACUGAGAAAUACAACUCCCAUUAUGAAAGUGGCAUCACUUGGAAGAUUUAUAAGAUUGACAAAGCCUUUAACAUGAAAGAAAAAAGAAAAAUGAAACUUAUUUUAGGGUAGCAUACAAAAUCAUAAAUAGCAGUUUUGUCAUGCACGUUUGCUGAUUAUCAGCUGCUUUCAAAUUUAAGACCUAAUAUUAGAGAAAGGAAGCAAACUGCCAGCUGCAAUUUGAACCCCAAUUUCAAAUGAAUCCCAAAUUUGUCCUGUAGUAUAUCAGGUCACUAAUACCCUAAAAUAUAGCUUUACCGUAGUAGCAAAGAAGUCAACCUUAUGCCAGAUUUUUUCUCAGAAACUUUCAUAGAACUAUCUUCAUUCUGGAGAUAUCAGUAUCGGGUUAAUUCUGAAUUUCAGUGGACUUCUAAAAACACCACAUGGACUGGACAUAUGGAUUAAUUGUAGAAGGAAUAGACACUAUCACUUAUCUCUGAAAAACAAUCAAUAUUGUAGAAAGGCUAGUAAGCAGAAUUAAAUGGAACAAUAAUUUUCUUUAAUCAGUUUUGAGCUAUUAUGUACUACCAGUUUUCGUUCUGACUUCUUGUCUGCCCCUAAAACAUUUAGUGCUAGGUUAAUUCUAGAAUUAUUGUUACAGCUUGUCUCAGAUUUUAAUCCUCAAACUUUAAUGGCUCAUCUAUACAGAAAGGAAUGUGUUUUACCGUUCUUCUUAGAUAUGUUUCUUAAAACCUUCUUCCUUUCUUCCAGCAUCUGUGCAUUGACACAUGCCUAUCAGUAUAUCACCACAGUGCUAUCA
This is a long non-coding RNA of Dromaius novaehollandiae (emu), 2129 nucleotides long. Lineage: Eukaryota; Metazoa; Chordata; Aves; Casuariiformes; Dromaiidae. The record is from Ensembl.